GAUGAACGCCGGCGGCGUGCCUAAUACAUGCAAGUCGAGCGAAUGGAUUAAGAGCUUGCUCUUAUGAAGUUAGCGGCGGACGGGUGAGUAACACGUGGGUAACCUGCCCAUAAGACUGGGAUAACUCCGGGAAACCGGGGCUAAUACCGGAUAACAUUUUGAACCGCAUGGUUCGAAAUUGAAAGGCGGCUUCGGCUGUCACUUAUGGAUGGACCCGCGUCGCAUUAGCUAGUUGGUGAGGUAACGGCUCACCAAGGCAACGAUGCGUAGCCGACCUGAGAGGGUGAUCGGCCACACUGGGACUGAGACACGGCCCAGACACCUACGGGAGGCAGCAGUAGGGAAUCUUCCGCAAUGGACGAAAGUCUGACGGAGCAAAGCCGCGUGAGUGACGAAGGCUUUCGGGUCGUAAAACGCUGUUGUUAGGGAAGAACAAGUGCUAGUUGAAUAAGCUGGCACCUUGACGGUACCUAACCAGAAAGCCACGGCUAACUACGUGCCAGCAGCCGCGGUAA
Molecule: ribosomal RNA, 515 nt
Filed under: uncultured bacterium
Lineage: Bacteria
Description: partial 16S ribosomal RNA
Rfam family: Bacterial small subunit ribosomal RNA
Source: RNAcentral